ACGGGAGGCAGCAGUGAGGAAUAUUGGACAAUGGAUGGAAGUCUGAUCCAGCCAUGCCGCGUGAGGGAUGGAUGCCCUACGGGCUCUGAACUUCUUUUGUACGGGGGCAAUAAGGUCCACGCGUGGACCGAUGAGAGUACCGUACGAAUAAGCAUCGGCUAACUCCGUGCCAGCAGCCGCGGUAAUACGGAGGAUGCGAGCGUUAUCCGGAUUUAUUGGGUUUAAAGGGUGCGUAGGCGGCUUGCCAAGUCAGCGGUUAAAUCCGGGCGCCCAACGCCGGAACUGCCGUUGAGACUGGCGGGCUUGAAUGGUGCCGCCGCAUGCGGAAUGUGUGGAGUAGCAGUGAAAUGCAUAGAUAUCACACAGAACGCCGAUUGUGGGAACAGCAUGCGAGACACCGAUUGACGCUGAGGCACGAAGGUGCGGGGAUCGAACAGGAUUAGAUACCCUGGUA
Molecule: ribosomal RNA, 454 nt
Filed under: uncultured Porphyromonadaceae bacterium
Lineage: Bacteria; Pseudomonadati; Bacteroidota; Bacteroidia; Bacteroidales; Porphyromonadaceae
Description: partial 16S ribosomal RNA
Rfam family: Bacterial small subunit ribosomal RNA
Source: RNAcentral